GGGUGAAGGAGAAUUGAGAAAUUAUGGAACUGGCAUUUGUUUUGGUGCUGCAUUAGAAUGAUCUUUUUCAAUCGUUUAUUCUAAAAGCUAUGACAGAAAAGUGGAAAAAAAGGGUCACUGAAAUGAUAGAAUCCUAGGUGGUUUACAAAACAUGGAUUGCAGCUCAUAAAAUAGGGCAUAUGUGGAUUUUCUCACUACCCGUAAUGAACCUGAUCGGACGCUAUUUUGUGAUGCUGUUUUUGAGAGACCACUUACACUGCCAGUCAUUAUCUCUGUAUGUACCCAUUAGUCUCUGGUUGUGGCAGGGUUGUGACCGGGGAAGAAGCUCAGCCCUACAGCUGGCCAUGGCAGGUUUCUCUGGAGUCGUUCUUCCCCACCUGCAGAGGUACGCUCAUCGCUGGUAACUGGGUCAUGACGGCUGGACACUGCAUUACAUCCAGGUUCCACACAUGCAGAGUGGUCGUGGCAGAGAAUGACAAAAAUUAUGAGUCAGUAUGAGCUGCCAAAGUGAGACGACAGACAUACAGGACAGUGUCGAGUCGGCGGUGACACCAUGAGACUGAGCGGGGAGUGUUGAAAACGGCCCCUGGUCCCGGGAAUGAUGCACACGCACUCCAUCAGCUCCUAGUGAGUCAGGACAUGUCAACUUCUCUUGUCACCAAUACCGACCCCUUUAAUAUGAACUCUCACUUAACCCACCAUGCCAAGGACUUCCCAUCUGAAAAACGCAUCAUUUUUGAAGAGAAGGGUCAGAGUAUUUAUUCACUUACCUCCAGGAAUAAGGCCUUAUAAAAAUCUAUCUCUUUUGGCAUCUAUCAGAGUCUACUUGUGCAAUCAUCUUUCAAGUUGAUGUAUGCAGUUCUUCUUUUUUAAUUAAAAAUCAUUUAAGGUA
Molecule: long non-coding RNA, 892 nt
Organism: Oncorhynchus tshawytscha (Chinook salmon)
Lineage: Eukaryota; Metazoa; Chordata; Actinopteri; Salmoniformes; Salmonidae
Source: Ensembl